Molecule: non-coding RNA, 628 nt
Filed under: Perkinsus marinus ATCC 50983
Lineage: Eukaryota; Perkinsozoa; Perkinsida; Perkinsidae
Description: Eukaryotic large subunit ribosomal RNA
Rfam family: Eukaryotic large subunit ribosomal RNA
Source: Rfam by way of RNAcentral
AUGCCUAUCGAUCUUUAGUCUGUGAGUAACAGCUAGAGGGUCAGAAAAGUACCACAGGAUAACUGCUGUGCAGCAGCGUCAUAGCGACGUGCUUUUGAUCUUCGAUGUCGGCUCUUCUAUCAUGAGACGCAGAAGUCUCAAAGUGUCGGAUUGUUCACCCGCCAAUAGGGAACGUGAGCUGGGUUUAGACCGUCGUGAGACAGGUUAGUUUUACCCUACUGACAAAGUAGAUACUGCGACAGUAGUCGAAGUUAGUACGAGAGGAACACUUCGUCCAGAUACUUGGUUAAUGCCGUUGUCUGAAAAGACAGUACGGCGAAGCUACCAUCUGCUGGAUUACGGCUGAACGCCUCUAAGCCGGAAUCCAUGCUGGAUAAGCAGUGUUGUACACCGUGCUCAAUGCUACAAGAAAAAGGCUAGGUCAGGCUUCGGCCUGACCAAAAUUCAAGCUGCUAUACCUCUGGCUGCAUUGACUUGUGGUCAGAGUGUAUGGUGAUCAUAGCAAUUGCAAGUAUUGGGCUCGAUAAAUCCUUUGAAGACGACUUAAUUGCAUCCGGGUAUUGUAAGUGUUGAGAGUAGGCUUAGUCUUACGAUCCACUGAGAUUCAUCCCGUGUUGCGCCGAUUUGU